GCUGGGUGUGGUGGUGUGCGCCUGUAAUCCCAGCUACUCUGGAGGCUGAGGCAGGAGACUCGCUUGAACCCGGGAGGUGGAGGUUGCGGUGAGCCGAGAUCGGGCCACUGCACUCCAGCCUGGGCAACAGAGCGAGACUCCGUCUCAA
Molecule: small RNA, 148 nt
Filed under: Macaca fascicularis (crab-eating macaque)
Lineage: Eukaryota; Metazoa; Chordata; Mammalia; Primates; Cercopithecidae
Description: Metazoan signal recognition particle RNA (ENSMFAG00000051935.1)
Source: Rfam by way of RNAcentral